This is a non-coding RNA of Poecilia reticulata (guppy), 347 nucleotides long. Lineage: Eukaryota; Metazoa; Chordata; Actinopteri; Cyprinodontiformes; Poeciliidae. The record is from RefSeq and is a predicted model, not a curated record.
ACAACCUUCUCCAAUCUUCUUCAGAUGUUGCUUCUUAUCUUCAACCUGUCAGCUAUCAGUGAGUGAGAGACGCAUCCUCCGAUCUAUAAAAGCUUAGAGGUCAUGAAGAAAAAGUGUUUGCUGCUUUGAUGCCUCAUCAGAACAAGAGAUGGUUUCAGCUCCUCUGCUCACUCUGCUGAUAUUUGGGCUGAUGAAACUAAACGCAGGAGGUGAAGCAGAAUAUGAUCCACAGCCAGGAGAAGCAGGAGGAGGAGGAGGAGGAGGAGGAUUAAAAGAACAAAGUGGAGAUGAAGGAAGGCUUCAACCUUCUCCACCUCCUCCUUCAUCACCUCCUCCUUCUCCACCUC